RNAcentral lists this transfer RNA (91 nucleotides) under Canis lupus familiaris (dog). It matches the Rfam family "tRNA". Rfam says of the family: Transfer RNA (tRNA) molecules are approximately 80 nucleotides in length. The record is from Rfam by way of RNAcentral. RNAcentral also lists the same sequence under 1 other name. Lineage: Eukaryota; Metazoa; Chordata; Mammalia; Carnivora; Canidae.
GCCUGGGUGGCUCAGUUGGUUGAGCGUCUGACUCUUGAUUUUGUUUCAGGUCAUGGUCUGAGGGUCAUGAGAUCGAGCCCCAUGUCAGGCU